RNAcentral lists this long non-coding RNA (543 nucleotides) under Oryza brachyantha (malo sina). RNAcentral's name for it is "long non-coding RNA (OBRA_LNC003497)". Lineage: Eukaryota; Viridiplantae; Streptophyta; Magnoliopsida; Poales; Poaceae. The record is from RNAcentral.
AUUGUAAAUAAGCCUUCCUGCUUCUUCAUGUUCGGUCAGACAAGGAAGUUAGAAAGCAGAUCGAUGGAAGUUGCUUGUUCGAAUCAUAUCUCGGAGAUUAGCUAGAGUAGGCGUUGGCAAAGACGUGAUGUGAAGCAACCAAUGAAAGAAAUGGCCCCGGUGCAGAAAGUUCUACCUGAGUGAAAGGAUCGUUCCCAUUCUAUCUAUGAUAUAGUUUAUGAUUCAAGAAAGCAUGGUUGGAGUUCUUCUAUUGACGAAGGGAAGAGGACGGUCUGACUUUUCAGAGAUACCUGACUUAGUGGGCUGGUCAUAGCAGAAGGUCAGAGGUGGGAAACAAGGAAACAGAGGAAAUGCUUACUGGGACAUAGCCUUCGGUACGAGUUGAAGGGAAAAAGAUGAAAGGAAGUUGAUUGAACAAAGAGAUGAAAUCACUUAUAGAUAGAAGGAUGUUGUAUGACGGAACGAUGACUUAAUGCUUCCAUUUUUGCUAGAGAAAUGACGGACGGAUGGAUUAGCAAAAAGGAAAGAAUGAGAACUGGUCUG